Paramuricea clavata is the source of this 294-nucleotide non-coding RNA. Lineage: Eukaryota; Metazoa; Cnidaria; Anthozoa; Malacalcyonacea; Plexauridae. The record is from the annotation of a GenBank genome assembly.
CUAUGGGGCUGGUGUCUGAGUCAUAAUGUACUAGCUAUAUAGUAACAGCACCAUGCAUUCCAGUAAUACAAUUAAUCGAUUCCAGUGAUUGAAAACUGAAAAAAUAAUAAUAUAAAAAUAAUCGUGUUUCCACACAAUUUCUCGUUUUCCCAAUUUCCACUCGUGUUGAUAUUUAACAAUUAUUUGCCGAAGGCGAGGUGAUUAUCGGGGAAUUAAUAUUCGCCGAGACGAAGUCGAGGUGAAUAUCCCCUGAUAAUCACCGAGCCUGAGGCGAAUAAUUGUUUUAGUAUGAAG